RNAcentral lists this ribosomal RNA (453 nucleotides) under uncultured bacterium. RNAcentral describes it as "partial 16S ribosomal RNA". It matches the Rfam family "Bacterial small subunit ribosomal RNA", at positions 28 to 523 of the family's 1533-position model. The record is from RNAcentral.
GAUGAACGCUGGCGGCGUGCCUAAUACAUGCAAGUCGUGCGGUAACACUUCGGGUGACGAGCGGCGGACGGGUGAGUAAUGCAUAGGAACGUGCCCCAAAGUGAGGGAUAACUGCUCGAAAGAGUAGCUAAUACCGCAUAUUAUCUUCGGAUCAAAGCUUCGGCGCUUUGGGAGCGGCCUAUGUCUGAUUAGCUAGUUGGUAGGGUAAAGGCCUACCAAGGCGACGAUCAGUAGCUGGUUUGAGAGGAUGAUCAGCCACACUGGGACUGAGACACGGCCCAGACUCCUACGGGAGGCAGCAGUAGGGAAUUUUCCACAAUGGGCGAAAGCCUGAUGGAGCAACGCCGCGUGCAGGAUGAAGGCCCUUGGGUCGUAAACUGCUUUUAUCUGUGACGAUUUUGACGGUAGCAGAUGAAUAAGGAUCGGCUAACUCCGUGCCAGCAGCCGCAGUAA